AAAAAGGCUCUUUUCAGAGCCAGGCUUAUCAACUAAUAGGCCCAUU
Molecule: non-coding RNA, 46 nt
Organism: Chelonia mydas (Green sea turtle)
Lineage: Eukaryota; Metazoa; Chordata; Testudines; Cheloniidae
Source: Rfam